Molecule: long non-coding RNA, 239 nt
Filed under: Elaeis guineensis (African oil palm)
Lineage: Eukaryota; Viridiplantae; Streptophyta; Magnoliopsida; Arecales; Arecaceae
Description: long non-coding RNA (EGUI_LNC018343)
Source: RNAcentral
CAAGUCUAAGAGUCUGUGGCUACAGUAGUAUGAUUGAUGAAAAGAGUUUUCAUAAAAAUCAUAAUUGAACUUGAGUUGAUUGAAUCUAUCAUAUGACUGAUGUUGAGGUUUGAUGAUUUAUCCAUGACCUGCCAUCUAGUCGGGACUCAUGAUAGAGAGACUGAAUCACAUGUUAACUAUAUCUUGAGAUUCAUUUUUGAUUCUACUGAGUUGCCACUACAUACUGCUAGGUGUCACUG